This 283-nucleotide long non-coding RNA is filed under the name Ananas comosus (pineapple). RNAcentral's name for it is "long non-coding RNA (ACOM_LNC013695)". Lineage: Eukaryota; Viridiplantae; Streptophyta; Magnoliopsida; Poales; Bromeliaceae. The record is from RNAcentral.
AGCAAACACAAGGUAACACAACCCAACAAUUAUCGUCGGAUAAUUGUUCGGAUCCGGGUUCUCGGAAGUGUCUAUUUCGACACCGAAACCCACCGUCGCUCACCCAUCAUCACCGAACCCAUAGUAUGAUGAUAGUGACCAGCCAACAAAGCUCAGCGACAAUUCACGAGACAACCAAACCACAUCGAAAGAAAUCCGAACCGAAACCACGUUCUUUCGGCGAAUUUCGCCGAAAAACGGACUGAAAUCGACUCUUCGAUUUCUAUGAAGACUAACGGAUCAU